GACGAACGCUGGCGGCGUGCUUAACACAUGCAAGUCGAACGGGGUUUGCGGAGUAGCAAUACGAAGUAAACCUAGUGGCGGACGGGUGAGUAACGCGUGAACAAUCUGUCUGUGCGAGGGGGAUAACAGCUGGAAACAGUUGCUAAUACCGCAUAAGACCACGAGGCCGCAUGGCCAUGAGGUAAAAGGAGCAAUCCGCGCACAGGUGAGUUCGCGUCCCAUUAGAUAGUUGGUGAGGUAACGGCCCACCAAGUCGACGAUGGGUAGCCGAUCUGAGAGGAUGAACGGCCACAUUGGGACUGAGAUACGGCCCAGACUCCUACGGGAGGCAGCAGUGGGGGAAUAUUGGGCAAUGGGGGAAACCCUGGACCCAGCAACGCCGCGUGAAGGAAGAAGGCCUUCGGUUGGUAAACGUUCUUUUACCAGGACGAAGAACGUGACGGUACCUGGA
Molecule: ribosomal RNA, 451 nt
Filed under: uncultured bacterium
Lineage: Bacteria
Description: bacterial SSU rRNA
Rfam family: Bacterial small subunit ribosomal RNA
Source: RNAcentral